This 484-nucleotide ribosomal RNA is filed under the name uncultured bacterium. RNAcentral describes it as "bacterial SSU rRNA". It matches the Rfam family "Bacterial small subunit ribosomal RNA", at positions 31 to 507 of the family's 1533-position model. The record is from RNAcentral.
GAACGCUGGCGGCGUGCUUAACACAUGCAAGUCGAACGAAGCACUUUUUACAGUAUUUCUUCGGAAUGAAGUUUUAGUGACUGAGUGGCAGACGGGUGAGUAACACGUGGUAACCUACCCUGAAGACUGGGAUAACAGUUAGAAAUGACUGCUAAUACCGGAUGAUUCAUGAGAAGAUAACUUUUCAUGCUAAAAGGAGCGUUUGCUUCACUUCAGGAUGGCCUCGCGUCUGAUUAGCUAGUUGGUGAGGUAAUGGCUCACCAAGGCGACGAUCAGUAGCCGGACUGAGAGGUUGGCCGGCCACAUUGGGACUGAGACACGGCCCAGACUCCUACGGGAGGCAGCAGUGGGGAAUAUUGGGCAAUGGGCGCAAGCCUGACCCAGCAACGCCGCGUGAAGGAAGAAGGCUUUCGGGUUGUAAACUUCUUUUAAGAGGGAAGAGCAGAAGACUGUACCUCUAGAAUAAGCCACGGCUAACUACGUG